RNAcentral lists this small RNA (1129 nucleotides) under uncultured Burkholderia sp. RNAcentral describes it as "bacterial SSU rRNA". The stretch from base 1 to 463 matches the Rfam family "Bacterial small subunit ribosomal RNA", at positions 1064 to 1533 of the family's 1533-position model. The record is from RNAcentral. Lineage: Bacteria; Pseudomonadati; Pseudomonadota; Betaproteobacteria; Burkholderiales; Burkholderiaceae.
GUCGUGAGAUGUUGGGUUAAGUCCCGCAACGAGCGCAACCCUUGUCCCUAGUUGCUACGCAAGGGCACUCUAGGGAGACUGCCGGUGACAAACCGGAGGAAGGUGGGGAUGACGUCAAGUCCUCAUGGCCCUUAUGGGUAGGGCUUCACACGUCAUACAAUGGACGGUACAGAGGGUUGCCAACCCGCGAGGGGGAGCCAAUCCCAGAAAGCCGUUCGUAGUCCGGAUCGCAGUCUGCAACUCGACUGCGUGAAGUCGGAAUCGCUAGUAAUCGCGGAUCAGCAUGCCGCGGUGAAUACGUUCCCGGGUCUUGUACACACCGCCCGUCACACCAUGGGAGCGGGGUGCACCAGAAGUAGGUAGGCUAACCGCAAGGGGGCCGUUUACCACGGUGCGCUUCGUGACUGGGGUGAAGUCGUAACAAGGUAGCCGUAUCGGAAGGUGCGGCUGGACCACCUCCUUUCUCGGAACAGCUCGGGAUUGCAGUACCCACUCCUAUCGGUUGCAAGCAGGUGGCGGGGUGCACCUGUGUGGGGCGACAAACGGCGGGCCUGUAGCUCAGUUGGUUAGAGCAUCGUCUUGAUAAGGCGGGGGUCGAUGGUUCGAAUCCAUCCAGACCCACCACCGAGAUGCGGGGCUGUAGCUCAGCUGGGAGAGCACCUGCUUUGCAAGCAGGGGGUCGUCGGUUCGAUCCCGAUCAGCUCCACCAGUGUCAGGUAACAGGCGACAGGGAUCAGGGAUCAGAGAAAGACCAUAGGCAAGCCGGCUGGCUUACCUCUGGUUUUUUGAAUCAGAGAUAUCGGUUGUUCUUUAACAAUUGGGAAGAAGUGAAGAAGCUUGCUCGAGCGAUGGGGCAUGGCGUUAAGCCAUGGCUGAUGGCGCGGGCGAGCUGGGUUGAUUGUAGGGGUUGGGUAGUGGCGGACGGGUGGUGAGGGUUUCUGAGCCCUGAUCCCUGACCGCUGAUACCUGACACGCAAACACCUGUAAUGGUAGGCAGCGGUGCCUAGUGUUAUGGGGUCAAGCGACUAAGUGCAUGUGGUGGAUGCCUUGGCGAUCACAGGCGACGAAGGACGUGGCAGCCUGCGAAAAGCUGCGGGGAGCUGGCAAACGAGCAUUGAUCCGCAGAUAU